This 366-nucleotide ribosomal RNA is filed under the name uncultured organism. RNAcentral's name for it is "bacterial SSU rRNA". It matches the Rfam family "Bacterial small subunit ribosomal RNA", at positions 526 to 896 of the family's 1533-position model. The record is from RNAcentral.
CGGAGGAUCCAAGCGUUAUCCGGAAUCAUUGGGUUUAAAGGGUCCGUAGGCGGGUUUAUAAGUCAGAGGUGAAAGCCCAUCGCUCAACGAUGGAACGGCCAUUGAUACUGUAGAUCUUGAAUUAUUAGGAAGUAACUAGAAUAUGUAGUGUAGCGGUGAAAUGCUUAGAGAUUACAUGGAAUACCAAUUGCGAAGGCAGGUUACUACUAAUGGAUUGACGCUGAUGGACGAAAGCGUGGGUAGCGAACAGGAUUAGAUACCCUGGUAGUCCACGCCGUAAACGAUGGAUACUAGCUGUUCGGAGCAAUCUGAGUGGCUAAGCGAAAGUGAUAAGUAUCCCACCUGGGGAGUACGUUCGCAAGAAUG